UGCAGACCUGCAUUGAGCUGCGGUGCUGAUGUUUCUCCUAGUAGCAUGGCUUUCGGUAUAAAAAUAUGCAAAAAAGUGACGUGAGGAAUAUUUGAACCAAGGUUUUAACCUUCAAAAUAUCAGGAAUGGGAAAGGAGGCAGCUAAGAAGAUGGAGAAGGAUAUACUGGGGAAACAAGUCAUAAGGAUUUGCCUUUCAGUUAAAAAACUUUCCCUGAAGCAGCUAUUAGAGAAAAGCAACUUAUUAUAAUUCUGAAAAUUUUUCCUUCUUGAUGUUCUAUCUCUAUGCAGAUGUCAUCUCCUCUUCCAUUCAGUAGACAAAAAAUAAAAAAUGGAUACUGUGUUAUUGGUGCUCUGAAACAUUCUCUACUUUUUCUCCUUUUAUUUCAGGAAAAAGAGCCACCUCCUUUCAAAUAAUU
This 417-nucleotide long non-coding RNA is filed under the name Homo sapiens (human). RNAcentral's name for it is "HSALNT0284394". Lineage: Eukaryota; Metazoa; Chordata; Mammalia; Primates; Hominidae. The record is from RNAcentral.